AUGGAUCACAUCUCAACGGCAAUUCCAGACGUGUUAUGCAUAUUAAGAACAAAUUACGAUAUUGGGGAAAUUAUUAAAGGGAAGAUGCCGGUGGUUGAUCUCCCUGUUGAACCUACCAUUGUUAGAAAGAAACAAUUACCCUGGCCUAAACCGCCAGCUAGAUGGGUUGCUCUAUCAACUGAUGGCUCCUAUGUCAAGAAAAUUGGGUUGGCAGGUACGGAUAUGGUUCAUAGAGACUCGGUAGGGACAGAUAUUAUCUCGGCCUACAGAUAUCUCUUCCAUUGCAAAGAUGCUCUAGAAUCCGAAAUCAGCGCCAUGUUGGAACUUGGAAAGUAUCUCAAUCAGUUUGCAGAGGACGGGGCUUCCUAUUAUUAUUCAAUCUGA
This 384-nucleotide ribosomal RNA is filed under the name Triticum aestivum (bread wheat). RNAcentral describes it as "partial small subunit ribosomal RNA". The record is from RNAcentral. Lineage: Eukaryota; Viridiplantae; Streptophyta; Magnoliopsida; Poales; Poaceae.